RNAcentral lists this ribosomal RNA (426 nucleotides) under uncultured bacterium. RNAcentral describes it as "bacterial SSU rRNA". It matches the Rfam family "Bacterial small subunit ribosomal RNA", at positions 355 to 775 of the family's 1533-position model. The record is from RNAcentral.
UCGAGAAUUUUUCUCAAUGGGGGCAACCCUGAAGGAGCGACGCCGCGUGGAGGAUGAAGGUCUUCGGAUCGUAAACUCCUGUCAUUUGGGAACAAAACUUCCGCUUUACUGGCGGAAGCUUGAUAGUACUAGAAGAGGAAGAGACGGCUAACUCUGUGCCAGCAGCCGCGGUAAUACAGAGGUCUCAACCGUUGUUCGGAUUCAUUGGGCGUAAAGGGUGCGUAGGCGGUCGCGUAAGUCGGAUGUGAAAUCCCGGGGCUCAACCCCGGAACUGCAUUCGAUACUGCGUGGCUAGGGUACUGGAGAGGAGACUGGAAUUUACGGUGUAGCAGUGAAAUGCGUAGAUAUCGUAAGGAAGACCAGUGGCGAAGGCGAGUCUCUGGACAGUUACCGACGCUGAGGCACGAAGGCCAGGGGAGCAAACGG